Molecule: small nuclear RNA, 107 nt
Filed under: Bison bison bison
Lineage: Eukaryota; Metazoa; Chordata; Mammalia; Artiodactyla; Bovidae
Source: RNAcentral
GUGCUCGCUUCAGCAGCACACAUACUAAAAUUGGAAUGAUACAGAGAAGAUUAGCAUGGCCCCUGCGCAAGGAUGAUACGCAAAUUCGUGAAGCGUUCUAUAUUUAA